This 241-nucleotide long non-coding RNA is filed under the name Homo sapiens (human). Its description in RNAcentral is "non-protein coding lnc-CCT5-31:1". Lineage: Eukaryota; Metazoa; Chordata; Mammalia; Primates; Hominidae. The record is from RNAcentral.
UGGGUAUGUACACACACACACACACACACACACAGUCAUACAUAUGCAACAAUAAGAAAAACAAAAUUUAGAAAAAAAAAUUCUGCCUAUAAUAAUAGGAUUUGUAUGGGAUGGUUACAGACACAUAAACAUACUUGUAUAGGACCAAACUGGCUCCAUUUUUUGGCAAGAAAAUAUAAAAUAAAAUUAGAAUAAUAGAGUACUUAUGGCAGACAUAGGGUAAAGCCAUACUCAUGUCCUU